Molecule: non-coding RNA, 63 nt
Organism: Rattus norvegicus (Norway rat)
Lineage: Eukaryota; Metazoa; Chordata; Mammalia; Rodentia; Muridae
Source: Rfam
GGGGAUUUAGCUCAGUGGAAGAGCGCUUGCCUAGGAAGCGCAAGGCCCUGGGUUCAGUCCCCA